GGCGGGGUGGCCGAGUGGUUAGGCAGAGGUCUGCAAAACCUCUUACAGCGGUUCAAUUCCGCUCCCCGCCUCCA
This 74-nucleotide transfer RNA is filed under the name Actinomycetes bacterium. RNAcentral describes it as "Actinobacteria bacterium tRNA-Cys". It matches the Rfam family "tRNA". Rfam says of the family: Transfer RNA (tRNA) molecules are approximately 80 nucleotides in length. Their secondary structure includes four short double-helical elements and three loops (D, anti-codon, and T loops). The record is from RNAcentral. Lineage: Bacteria; Bacillati; Actinomycetota; Actinomycetes.